This 480-nucleotide ribosomal RNA is filed under the name uncultured bacterium. RNAcentral's name for it is "bacterial SSU rRNA". It matches the Rfam family "Bacterial small subunit ribosomal RNA", at positions 417 to 888 of the family's 1533-position model. The record is from RNAcentral.
UUCGGAUCGUAAAACUCUGUUGUUAGAGAAGAACAAGGGUGAGAGUAACUGUUCNUCCCNNGACGGUAUCUAACCAGAAAGCCACGGCUAACUACGUGCCAGCAGCCGCGGUAAUACGUAGGUGGCAAGCGUUGUCCGGAUUUAUUGGGCGUAAAGCGAGCGCAGGCGGUUUCUUAAGUCUGAUGUGAAAGCCCCCGGCUCAACCGGGGAGGGUCAUUGGAAACUGGGAGACUUGAGUGCAGAAGAGGAGAGUGGAACUCCAUGUGUAGCGGUGAAAUGCGUAGAUAUAUGGAGGAACACCAGUGGCGAAGGCGGCUCUCUGGUCUGUAACUGACGCUGAGGCUCGAAAGCGUGGGGAGCAAACAGGAUUAGAUACCCUGGUAGUCCACGCCGUAAACUAUGAGUGCUAAGUGUUGGAGGGUUUCCGCCCUUCAGUGCUGCAACUAACGCAUUAAGCACUCCGCCUGGGGAGUACGACCG